RNAcentral lists this ribosomal RNA (397 nucleotides) under uncultured bacterium. RNAcentral describes it as "partial 16S ribosomal RNA". It matches the Rfam family "Bacterial small subunit ribosomal RNA", at positions 523 to 918 of the family's 1533-position model. The record is from RNAcentral.
AUACGUAGGCGGCAAGCGUUAUCCGGAUUUACUGGGUGUAAAGGGCGUGUGGGCGGUAUACCAAGUCAGAUGUGAAAUCUCCCGGCUCAACCGGGAGCGUGCAUCUGAAAUUGGUACACUUGAGUGCUGGAGGGGAAAGCGGAAUUCCUAGUGUAGCGGUAAAAUGCGUAGAUAUUAGGAGGAACACCGGUGGCGAAGGCGGCUUUCUGGACAGUAACUGACGCUGAAGCGCAAAAGCGUGGGGAGCAAACAGGAUUAGAUACCCUGGUAGUCCACGCCAUAAACGAUGAAUACUAGGUGUAGGGGGUAUCGACCCCCUCUGUGCCGACGUUAACACAUUAAGUAUUCCACCUGGGGAGUACGGCCGCAAGGCUGAAACUCAAAUGAAUUGACGGGG